UGGGGAAUAUUGGACAAUGGGGGCAACCCUGAUCCAGCAAUGCCGCGUGUGUGAAGAAGGCCUGAGGGUUGUAAAGCACUUUCAGUGGGGAGGAGGGUAAUUUGGUUAAGAGCUGAGUUAUUGGACGUUACCCACAGAAGAAGCACCGGCUAACUCCGUGCCAGCAGCCGCGGUAAUACGUAGGGACCAAGCGUUGUUCGGAUUUACUGGGCGUAAAGGGCGCGUAGGCGGCAUGACAAGUCACUUGUGAAAUCUCUGGGCUUAACCCAGAACGGCCAAGUGAUACUGUCGCGCUAGAGUGCAGAAGGGGCAAUCGGAAUUCUUGGUGUAGCGGUGAAAUGCGUAGAUAUCAAGAGGAACACCUGAGGUGAAGACGGGUUGCUGGGCUGACACUGACGCUGAGGCGCGAAAGCCAGGGGAGCAAACGGGAUUAGAUACCCCGGUAGUCCCUGAGCGGGCUGGCAAGGCGCAU
RNAcentral lists this ribosomal RNA (472 nucleotides) under uncultured bacterium. RNAcentral describes it as "bacterial SSU rRNA". It matches the Rfam family "Bacterial small subunit ribosomal RNA", at positions 355 to 825 of the family's 1533-position model. The record is from RNAcentral.